Molecule: ribosomal RNA, 1434 nt
Filed under: uncultured prokaryote
Description: partial 16S ribosomal RNA
Rfam family: Bacterial small subunit ribosomal RNA
Source: RNAcentral
UGGCUCAGAUUGAACGCUGGCGGCAUGGCUAAGACAUGCAAGUCGAGCGCGAAAGUUCCUUCGGGAGCGAGUAGAGCGGCGAAAGGGCGAGUAAUGCGUUCCUACGUACCUUCAGGUGAGGGAUAGCCCGGGGAAACCCGGUGUAAUACCUCAUGUGGUCUCCGGAUCAAAGGCUUCGGCCGCCAGAAGAGCGGGGAACGUCCUAUCAGGUUGUUGGUGAGGUAAAAGCUCACCAAGCCUUAGACGGGUAGCGGGUGUGAGAGCACGACCCGCCGCAUCGGGACUGAGACACUGCCCGGACUCCUACGGGAGGCUGCAGUAACGAAUAUUCCGCAAUGCGCGAAAGCGUGACGGAGCAAUGCCGCGUGCAGGAUGAAGCCCCUCGGGGUGUAAACUGCUGUCAGGGGUCACCAAGAUCUGAGGAACCCCAGAGGAAGGGCCGGCUAACUUCGUGCCAGCAGCCGCGGUAAUACGAAGGGCCCGAGCGUUGCGCGGAAUCACUGGGCUUAAAGCGUACGCAGGCGGACAAGCAGGCAUCGUGUGAAAUCCCUCCGCUCAACGGAGGAACUGCACGGUGAACCGUUUGUCUUGAGACAAGUAGGGGCUGUCGGAACGCUAGGUGGAGUGGUGAAAUGCGUUGAUAUCUAGCGGAACGCCAAAGGAGAAAUCAGGCAGCUGGGCUUGUUCUGACGCUGAGGUACGAAAGCGUGGGGAGCGAACGGGAUUAGAUACCCCGGUAGUCCACGCCGUAAACGAUGUGCACUAGGUCGAGGGGGUUCUGACGCCGCUCUUGGCCGAAGGAAAACUAUUAAGUGCACCGCCUGGGGAGUACGGUCGCAAGGCUAAAACUCAAAGGAAUUGACGGGGGCUCACACAAGCGGUGGAGCAUGUGGCUUAAUUCGAAGCAACGCGAAGAACCUUAUCCUGGGUUUGACAUGUAUGGAUUAACUCCCUGAAAAGGAAGCCACGCCCUUUGGGUGGAACAUACACAGGUGCUGCAUGGCUGUCGUCAGCUCGUGCUGUGAAGUGUCGGGUUAAGUCCCUUAACGAGCGCAACCCUUAUCGUUAGUUGCCAGCGCGUAAUGGCGGGGACUCUAGCGAGACUGCCGGUGUCAAACCGGAGGAAGGUGGGGAUGACGUCAAGUCCGCAUGGCCUUUAUGCCCAGGGCUGCACACGUGCUACAAUGGCCGGUACAGAACGACGCAAGAUCGCAAGAUGGAGCAAAUCGCUAAACCAUGCCCCAGUUCGGAUAGCAGGCUGAAAUUCGCCUGCUUGAAGCCGGAAUCGCUAGUAAUCGGGGAUCAGCUACGCCCCGGUGAUACGUUCCUGAGCCUUGUACACACCGCCCGUCAAGUCAUGGAAGCUGGCAGCACCCGAAGUCGCCGCGAUUCAGCGGUGCCCACGGUGAGGCUGGUGACUGGGACUAAGUCGUA